Zingiber officinale is the source of this 492-nucleotide long non-coding RNA. RefSeq lists it as uncharacterized. The record is from RefSeq and is a predicted model, not a curated record. The transcript has 6 exons. NCBI's taxonomy places the organism in Eukaryota, Viridiplantae, Streptophyta, Magnoliopsida, Zingiberales, Zingiberaceae.
CCUAUAUCCCUUAAUCCCACAUAUUCUCUUUACCCGAUCUCCUUCUCGCAGCGGCGGCUGAAUCCUUCUCCAGCGGUGGCGGAAUCCUUCUCCUGCAGCGGCGCAGGUCUCGCUCGGUGUAGUUGGAGACACUCGUAUCAUAAAGCAUUUUUGUAGAUCUUCCCCGUGGUCAUUAGAGGUGACAUCUAAUAUUUUUUCCCCUCUUGUUCUACAAGCUAUUUGAAGAAAAAUGUUCCGCUCUAAGUCAGAUUCCUCCGCGUGACGAUGAUGAUGAUAACGAUGAUGCUGGUGAUGCUAUUUCAUGAUUUUAAUUAUGAUUGGUGAGGCGAAAUAUGUAUCGGAGAAAAAAGAAGAGAAGAGUUGAUGGGGAUGAAAGCUUUUGUGGAGAAAGAAGAUGAGUUGAUGUAUCUUAGUUUUUUUUUAAAUUUAACUCCUUGUUUAACUUCUUGGAUUAUUAGACUUUAUAAAUAUUUGAGUGUUGAACUUGUAUAA